CCAUCCCCUCAAGCUUUGCUUGGCUUGUUGGGCCAGCGUCCAACCUGUGGCUCCUGCCGCGGGGGGACGGGCCCGAAAGGCAGUGGCGGCUCCCGGAGGGUUGGUCCUUUGGGCGGUGAUACAUGGGUCUCUUCAUCCACCGUCCCACGGGUCCUGCCCCGGGAGUCUGUCGAACGAUCGGUCUUCCCCUGUA
RNAcentral lists this unclassified non-coding RNA (193 nucleotides) under uncultured Elaphomyces. Its description in RNAcentral is "sequence contains ITS2". Lineage: Eukaryota; Fungi; Ascomycota; Eurotiomycetes; Eurotiales; Elaphomycetaceae. The record is from RNAcentral.